This 228-nucleotide ribosomal RNA is filed under the name uncultured bacterium. RNAcentral's name for it is "partial 16S ribosomal RNA". It matches the Rfam family "Bacterial small subunit ribosomal RNA", at positions 568 to 795 of the family's 1533-position model. The record is from RNAcentral.
CGUGUAGGCGGCCAGGUAAGUCAGAUGUGAAAGUCCCGGGCUCAACUCGGGAAGUGCAUUUGAAACUGCUUGGCUUGAGUAAGAGAGAGGAAAGUGGAAUUCCUGGUGUAGAGGUGAAAUUCGUAGAUAUCAGGAGGAACACCGGUGGCGAAGGCGGCUUUCUGGCUCUAUACUGACGCUGAGACGCGAAAGCGUGGGUAGCAAACAGGAUUAGAUACCCUGGUAGUC